UAUUAAUCUUGUCAAAAGCCAAAAAUACAUCUGGAUCUAAAUAAAAAAGCAAGAUUACUAGGAGGCUCAUACUGGGAAACAAGUAACAAGUCCAAAGAAACAACUCAAACUAAAUCUAGCCAAAAUUCAACUCACUAAGUAAAACUUUCCCAACCUAGAACCCCUAAAUUUACAGGAGAACUCUAAUCCAAAACUACCCGCCGCCGACCACCACUAAGAGGCUUGCCAUCAAUAUAAGUUAACAAUGAUCGAAGCCAACAGACAUUGCUAACAUCAACCUAACGUCAACCAUCAUUGCGCAACAAUCUAAAACAAUAUUAGUCUUCCACCGUCCUCGAUAGGCCAUGAAGCACUGCUAUGCAGCGACAAGAGGGAGCUGUCAUAGAAGCUCUCUGGCACUCGAUGCCAUCGGAAAGACCUUUACAGCCGUAGUGUAGAAGCAAAACUCAGAUAUGCAGCACAGUCAAUGCAAGUGAGCCCUCUCGUCACUCAGAGCCAUCCUUUUAGACCCAAACAACUACAAUCCCAACAACAGCCAUCGGACUUCAAACUGCCUAUCUAAACACAAACCCAAAAAUCCACAACCAUACAAGCAGGUCUACUUUGAAAGCCCUCUCAAAUUGCCCCAACCUGCAAGAAAACAGUACCUAAAAACAACAAUUUACUCUCAACCUAAUUGGGGGAGGGCUUCAACCACAACUAGGCGAGGAAGAUCCAUCAUCUUCCUCUUCUCCCAAGGGCAGAGGAAGCCUUUGGGACACAAAAAGCCCGAUUGUUCUGAGAGAUCAACUAAACUUGAAGAAAUAGUGAAAACAGAUAAGAUUGGUGUGUGUUUUUAUUAAUGGUAACACUGAAUUAUACGGCGGAUAUAUAUG
This 875-nucleotide unclassified non-coding RNA is filed under the name Hevea brasiliensis (rubber tree). The record is from RNAcentral. Lineage: Eukaryota; Viridiplantae; Streptophyta; Magnoliopsida; Malpighiales; Euphorbiaceae.